RNAcentral lists this unclassified non-coding RNA (30 nucleotides) under Mus musculus (house mouse). RNAcentral describes it as "oocyte_clustered_small_RNA9978". The record is from RNAcentral. Lineage: Eukaryota; Metazoa; Chordata; Mammalia; Rodentia; Muridae.
UGUUGUUCCUCCUAAAAGGGUUGCAGACCC